CCAGCAUCCCAGAGUUGCCUUUUCACUGUUGACGUUGAGACUGGUAUAUAAAAAAAACACAAAUUGUGGACCUAAGAAUGGUUAGUACAGCAUGCCAAACUGACCCCUUGGUGCCAGUGUUCCUGUGCUGCGGUGGAGAAGAGGUCUACCGGGACCAUCAUUAAAGAGUUCAGGGCCCAGCUAGAUUGCGCUCACGAUCAUCAGUAUACAACCGAGUCCUGCCCCUAUAACACAGAUGGAGCUGACAGAGAGUGAGAUCAAUGAAGACCAUAACUCACUGUAUGAACCUGAGGGCUCAGAAUCACAAUCAUCACAGUGCGAGCCAAGAUAUACUAUCGAUCAGCGGGAUGGUGUUCCGAAAAUAAAGAAGGAACUGGCCAUUCAACAGCGAAUUCAAAGAUACACCCAUCCAUAAAGGGAAUCGGAGUGGAAUUGUUUUUCCACUGAUUUAUUUUUCUUUUCAAUGGAUGUGUUACCUUGUCCCGGUUCUGCUGUUUCAACUCUCUCUCUCUCUCAACCUAUUAAUGCUCAGCAGUGAAAAGCCAACUGACAUUUGCUCCUGAGGUGUUGAACUGUUUCGCCCUCUAUAACCACUGUGGUUAUUAUUUUGAUGUAAAAAGGACUUUGUAAAAUAUCUUUGAUUGUUUGCUGUGCUGGAUGCUGUGUAUUCACUGAGUGAUGGGACAUUUUUAUAGUAUCUGUAACAUAUUUGGGGUUUAUUUAUUCUGCAUCUUAACUUCUUAAAGUGGUAAUCAGCAGUAGAAACAAUAACAAAGUGACUCCCUGCUCCUCUUUUGGUAAAAAGCUGAUGGAUGAGGCUGGAGAAAUGUAACCACUCUCAAAUUCAAAGACAGAGCUAUAGAUGCUAAGACUGACCAUCCAUGAUAUCAAAAUUGUAAUCCUGUUUCUAUGAUCUGUUUCCACUACCAUGUACCCAGUUCGCUUUGGAUAAAGGCGUCUGCUAAAUGGCAUAUAUUAUUAAAGUCUGCUUUGACUCUGACUAGCUGCC
Molecule: long non-coding RNA, 1009 nt
Filed under: Salmo salar (Atlantic salmon)
Lineage: Eukaryota; Metazoa; Chordata; Actinopteri; Salmoniformes; Salmonidae
Description: lncRNA (ENSSSAG00000084259.1, ENSSSAG00075032571.1)
Source: RNAcentral